GGAACAUUUCUCUGUCUAGGUACUUUUCAAAGCCUAGAUAGGCAAGGAAGCCAAAACCAUCCUUCCAAACUCCCUCUCUUCCUCCUCUAGCCAGUGACAUCUUCAACCCAAGGUCACCAGGUAUCAACCUAUCAAAAUGCUAUACACAGCGGCAGCAGGGGCCUGGAGGCUGAGAUCCACAGGCGUGUGCUGGUUUGUCAAGAUUGUGAGAAUAUCCACAGGGACCACAUGGGAGAGGCCGGAUGACCUCGAUGCUCUCUUCCUCAGUCACCUGUGCUCCACCGUGGUGUGAAGGAGCCAAGAGGACUCUCACUGGAGCUGAGCUAACGCCAGUGCCUUCCCCUUGAACCUGCCAGAUUGUGAGCAAAUAAACCUCUUUUCUUUACAAUCUCA
Molecule: long non-coding RNA, 393 nt
Organism: Marmota monax (woodchuck)
Lineage: Eukaryota; Metazoa; Chordata; Mammalia; Rodentia; Sciuridae
Exons: 3
Source: RefSeq, a predicted model, not a curated record